Long non-coding RNA from Hemiscyllium ocellatum (epaulette shark), 1733 nucleotides. RefSeq lists it as uncharacterized. The transcript has 3 exons. NCBI's taxonomy places the organism in Eukaryota, Metazoa, Chordata, Chondrichthyes, Orectolobiformes, Hemiscylliidae. The record is from RefSeq and is a predicted model, not a curated record.
AGAAAACUCCUUCACAGACCAAUCUGUUCCCUUUUUCCAAUGCCUCAAAUGGACCUGCAAGAGUCUACAGGAGGUUACAUUAUGGGGCAAUUGAUUCAGUUCAAAUGGGAAAAGACAACUGAAAUCGCUGGAGUCACUGAGACCCAACCUGAUUGUGUACACAAUCUGAUGGAUCUACAAUACAUGAUGUUAUUUCCUGCUUUAUUUUACAUCCGAUCCGAUGUCGUUUGACCAUUCUCGCCUCGCUCUUGUAAAGUAAUGACAAAGUUUCACCAUAUUUAUCAGACUUCACAAAUCACUGAAUGGGAACAGAUAAUAACAGUGAAAUCAAAGAUACAAGAAGGCUACCCAAAAGUAACCUCUCGGGGAAAUUUAAAUCAGUGACUUUACCAGCAACCUCCACAUUUGGGAAGUGAAAGAAAACUGGUUUUAUGGAGUGGAAUCCAUACCAUGCAGUAAGAGGCGCAAUGUGUCUGCACCGACCUUCCAAAGAGCAUUCCAGCUUAUCCCCAUAUCCCUGCAUUUUCCGGGGCGAAUCCAGUGAACCUGCACACACCUUUGGGCUGUGGGAGGAAACUGGUGCCUCUGGUGGAAAUACCCGCAGACGUGAAGAAGAUGCAGACUGCACACAGACAGUCACCUGAGGCUGGGUUUAAACCUGAGUCCCUGGUGCUAUGAGGUAACAGUGCAAACUGUUGAGUCACUGCUGCCCUUCAAAUAUUUGGACUUUAAAACAUUUUGCUGUGAUUUUUUUAAUGUCAAUUUCUCAUCCGAGCGGAAAGUAGGAGGACAAAUGUACUGCAGGUACCAGGGAACUCUGUUUAAGUGGGUCGGAUCUGUUGUGUCCAUUUGAACAGAGGGUGCAAUGAAUUAAUGCCUCAGCGGUGACAGCAGCAGUUAAAAGAAAAGAGUUGGGCAGGGUACAGUAGCAUAGCCCACUGACUGUUCCCAUUUUAGGCAAGUUCACAAAUGCUGUGCAGAAGGACUUGGGUGUCCUGCAUGAAUCACAAAAAGUUGGUUUGCAGGUGCAACAGGUAAUUAGUAAGACAAAUGGAAUAUUGCCUUCCAUUCAUAGAGGGAUGGUGCUUAAAAAUAGUGAGGUUAUGCUGCAGCUGUACAGGGUGCUGGUGUGGCCACCUGUAGAGUACUACUUGCAGUUUUGGUCUCCUUACUUAAGAAAAGAUGUACUCUCAUUGGAACGAGUGCAGAGGAGACGCCUGAAUUCAGAGGGUUGGCUUAUGAUGAGAGAUUGCGUCGACUGGGACUAUACUCAUUGGAAUUUAGAAGAAUGAGCGGAAUUAUACAGAAAGAUAUAAAAUUAUGAAGGGAGGAGAUAAGCUAGAAACAGGCUGUUUCCACUGGUGGGUGGAACUAGAACUGGGGGAAUAGCAUCAAAAUAAAAGAAGAGAUUUAGGACUGAGUUGAGGAGGAACUUCUUUACCCAAAGCAUUGUAAAUCUGUGGAAUUUCCACCCAGUGAAGCAGUUAAGUUUACCUCACAGCAAAGGUAAUUCCUUUCCUGUUCAAAGAUCUAAGGGUUACAGUGAGUCAGUGGGUAAAUGGAGCUGCGUCCACAGAAAAAUCAGUUGUGAUCUUGGCAGAGCAUGGUCAAUGAGCCAGAUGGCGUACUGCUGGUCCUGUUUCUUACAUUCUAAUCAACAGCAUUUGAUAGACUACUGAAUGGAUUCAGCAACCAUGGACACUGAUCUAAACUAUAAAUUAAUAAUCACUUGA